AGGUAGCAUAAUAAAUAGUCUUUUAAUUGAAGUCUAGUAUGAAUGGUCGGACAUGAAGUAAGCUGUUUCGGCUUUGAUCUUUGAAUUUUACUUUUAAGUGAAAAGGCUUAAAUAGAGUGGUGGGACGAUAAGACCCUAUAAAGCUUUACGGUUUAUUCUUCGGUUGCGAGGUUUAAGGUUUCUUAUUCUUAUCGAAUAAAACGUUUCGUUGGGGCGACGGGAAUAUAAAUAAAGUAGCUGUUUUUGUUUGAAAAAUAUGUUUUUAUAGGUGAGUUGAUCCUUUUUAGAGAUUAUAAGAUUUAAGUUACUUUAGGGAUAACAG
This 322-nucleotide ribosomal RNA is filed under the name Caridina brachydactyla. RNAcentral's name for it is "partial 16S ribosomal RNA". The record is from RNAcentral. Lineage: Eukaryota; Metazoa; Arthropoda; Malacostraca; Decapoda; Atyidae.